ACGGAAGUCUGAUGCAGCGACGCCGCGUGGGGGAUGAAGGCUUUCGGGUUGUAAACCUCUUUUAUUCCUGAACAAGGCUUGGAUUGUUGUCUGGGUUGAGGGUAGGGGGUGAAUAAGCACCGGCUAACUCCGUGCCAGCAGCCGCGGUAAUACGGAGGGUGCAAGCGUUACUCGGAAUCACUGGGCGUAAAGAGCACGUAGGCGGCCUUGCAAGUCAGAUGUGAAAUCCAACGGCUUAACCGUUGAACUGCAUUUGAAACUGCAAGGCUAGAGUAUGGGAGAGGUAGGUGGAAUUCUCGGUGUAGGGGUAAAAUCCGUAGAGAUCGAGAGGAAUACUCAUUGCGAAGGCGACCUGCUGGAACAUUACUGACGCUGAGGUGCGAAAGCGUGGGGAGCAAACA
This 401-nucleotide ribosomal RNA is filed under the name uncultured Wolinella sp. RNAcentral's name for it is "bacterial SSU rRNA". It matches the Rfam family "Bacterial small subunit ribosomal RNA", at positions 375 to 774 of the family's 1533-position model. The record is from RNAcentral. Lineage: Bacteria; Pseudomonadati; Campylobacterota; Epsilonproteobacteria; Campylobacterales; Helicobacteraceae.